This 1768-nucleotide ribosomal RNA is filed under the name human metagenome. RNAcentral's name for it is "bacterial LSU rRNA". It matches the Rfam family "Bacterial large subunit ribosomal RNA", at positions 508 to 2295 of the family's 2925-position model. The record is from RNAcentral.
GGAAAGGUGAAAAGAACCCCGAACAGGGGAGUGAAAUAGAACCUGAAACCAUACGCUUACAACCGGUCGGAGCAGCUUCGUGCUGUGACGGCGUGCCUAUUGAAUAAUGAGCCUACGAGUUACUAAUCACUGGCGAGGUUAAGUGCACGGAUGCACGGAGCCGAAGCGAAAGCGAGUCUUAAUAGGGCGUUUAGUCAGUGGUUGUAGACGCGAAACCUUGCGAUCUACCCUUGAGCAGGUUGAAGGUUGGGUAAAACCAACUGGAGGACCGAACGAAUAAGCGUUGAAAAGCUUCUCGAUGACUUGAGGGUAGGGGUGAAAGGCUAAUCAAGCUGGGAAAUAGCUCGUACUCCCCGAAAUGCCUUUAGGGGCAGCGUUGUAAUAAAGAGUCUACUGGAGGUAGAGCUACUGAUUGGAUGCGGGGGCUUCACCGCCUACCAAAUCCUGACAAACUCCGAAUGCCAGUAGUAUGAUUUACAGCAGUGAGUGACUGGGUGCUAAUGUCCAGUCGCAAAAGAGGAACAACUCAGACCAGCAACUAAGGUCCCGAAGAAUAUGCUAAGUUGAUCUAACGAUGUUUUGUUGCAGAGACAGCUAGGAUGUUAGCUUGGAAGCAGCUAUUCAUUCAAAGAGUGCGUAACAGCUCACUAGUCGAGCGACAGAGCGUGGAUAAUAAACGGGCAUCAAGCAUAUCACCGAAGUUCUGGGCGCGAGAGCGCGGUAGGGGAGCAUUCCAUUCAGCGUCGAAGCAGUUUCGUGAGGAAUUGUGGAGCGUAUGGAAAAGCAAAUGUAGGCAUGAGUAACGAUAAUGCGGGAGAGUAACCCGCACACCGCAAGACCAAGGUUUCCUGAUCAACGCUAAUCGGAUCAGGGUUAGUCGGGUCCUAAGGGUAAGCCGAACGGCGAUCUCGAUGGAUAAUCGGUUAAUAUUCCGAUACUAACAUAUACCUCGAUGGAGAGACGAAGGAACGUAAGUGCCGCCACCUGACGGAAUAGGUGGUUAAAGGGCGUAGGUAUAGGGGCAGAUUAAGAGUUAGUCCUUGCUGAAACCUGACAGUACAGAGAGCCUACGGGCAAUUUGAUAGAGCACCCAAGUCGACUUCCGAGAAAAUCUUCUAAGUUAUAGUAUAUGUUACCCGUACCGUAAACCGACACAGGUGGUCGAGGAGAGUAUCCUAAGGUGCUCGAGUGAAUCACGGUUAAGGAACUAGGCAAAUUAACCCCGUAACUUCGGGAAAAGGGGUCCCUAUGAAAGUAGGGCGCAGCGAAGAGGUCCAGGCGACUGUUUAUCAAAAACACAGGGCUCUGCAAAUUCGAAAGAAGACGUAUAGGGCCUGACACCUGCCCGGUGCUGGAAGGUUAAGAGGGGAUGUCAUCGCAAGAGAAGCAUUGAAUCGAAGCCCCAGUAAACGGCGGCCGUAACUAUAACGGUCCUAAGGUAGCGAAAUUCCUUGUCGGGUAAGUUCCGACCUGCACGAAUGGUGUAAUGAUCUGGACACUGUCUCAACCGUGAGCUCGGUGAAAUUGUAGUAUCGGUGAAGAUGCCGAUUACCCGCGAUGGGACGAAAAGACCCCGUGAACCUUUACUAUAGCUUAACAUUGAAUUUGGGUAAUUGAUGUGUAGGAUAGGCCGGAGGCUUUGAAGCAGGUACGCCAGUAUUUGUGGAGCCGCUGUUGAAAUACGGCCCUUUGAUUAUUUGAGUUCUAACCCGUUGUUGCGGGGACACUGUUUGGUGGGUAGUUUGACUGGGGUGGUCGCCUCCAAAAG